Molecule: long non-coding RNA, 528 nt
Filed under: Citrus x clementina
Lineage: Eukaryota; Viridiplantae; Streptophyta; Magnoliopsida; Sapindales; Rutaceae
Description: Citrus clementina (C. clementina) long non-coding RNA (CCLE_LNC002136)
Source: RNAcentral
GCAGAGUUUUGUAGCAGGUAAAAAAAAAACACCAAAAGAUAAAAAAUUUACAAAGAAAAUUAACAAAUCAUUGAAAUAAGAUGCAAAAGCUGAAAAUUUUUGCUACAUUUCCAUUAUAUUUCUUCGUAAAAGCAUGCAAUUAAUCUCAGAAACAGAGCAAUAAUUAACAUGACGACGAAAAACAACAACCCAUCAAGAAACUGCCAACAAAAUUGGCAAAACUUUCAACGAGAUCCUGAAGAAACCCGUGAAAAGAUUUGUGGGAAAGCAAAGAAAAUUCUGGAGAAAACAAAGAAUGGAAUUUAGAAAGUCAAAAAAAAGAGCAGAGAGGCCAAAUUUAUAAAGCCAUGACUGAUCCCCACCACCAACAUUUAUAUUACUUUCUUUUUUUUAUUUUUGCUUUCAGUUUCUCUCUCUUUCUGAAGAUUGUCUAGAGAGAGAAACAGAAACGAGAACGCGUAAUGACCGAAUGCGAUAAUCGAAUAUUCAAGUUUCAAAGAAGCCUCCUCUCUUGAAUGCCAAUUGAUG